GACGAACGCUGGCGGCGUGCCUAAUACAUGCAAGUAGAACGCACAGUUUAUACCGUAGCUUGCUACACCAUAGACUGUGAGUUGCGAACGGGUGAGUAACGCGUAGGUAACCUGCCUGGCAGCGGGGGAUAACUAUUGGAAACGAUAGCUAAUACCGCAUAAUAUUAAUUAUUGCAUGAUAAUUAAUUGAAAGGUGCAAUUGCACCACUACCAGAUGGACCUGCGUUGUAUUAGCUAGUAGGUGAGGUAACGGCUCACCUAGGCGACGAUACAUAGCCGACCUGAGAGGGUGAUCGGCCACACUGGGACUGAGACACGGCCCAGACUCCUACGGGGGGCAGCAGUAGGGAAUCUUCGGCAAUGGACGAAAGUCUGACCGAGCAACGCCGCGUGAGUGAAGAAGGUUUUCGGAUCGUAAAGCUCUGUUGUAAGAGAAGAACGGGUGUGAGAGUGGAAAGUUCACACUGUGACGGUAUCUUACCAGAAAGGGACGGCUAACUACGUG
This 505-nucleotide ribosomal RNA is filed under the name uncultured bacterium. RNAcentral describes it as "partial 16S ribosomal RNA". It matches the Rfam family "Bacterial small subunit ribosomal RNA", at positions 28 to 507 of the family's 1533-position model. The record is from RNAcentral.